CCGCGCUCCCGCCGCCCUCCGGCCCGGACGCAGAGGCGGCGGCUGCCGUGAGCGGCCCGGUGUGUAACGGGAGGCGGCAGCGGCCGUGCCGUGCAGCGCCCGGGCCAGGCCUGCUCGCUGCCUUCGGCCGAGCUCGGCUCGAUUCGGCCCAGCUCGGGUGAAGGAAAGAGCCCAGACUCCAUAAUUAAGUCAAUCCCCUGGCAUAAGGGACGAUGGACAUCAAGUGCUAUUCACCUCUUCUGAGUAAAUGAAGAAAGGGACUAUGAAGACGCAACAUCUGCCUUCUGUUUUCAUCAAUGAAGAGAAGGUCAUAACCAGCAGCUGAUUUUCCAGACACCGAGCUCCCACCAGCACCAGGACAGAAGUGGAAACUCACGGGUUCUCUAUCAAUGGCCACCUUACGACCACGAGGCAGGAAAUUUUAGGCUUGGCUUUGUCACCUGAGGGACAGGGAGCCCUGCCCAGUGAGGUGUGCCUCAGGCCCAGGCCGCGGUGUGGCUGUUCCCGCUCCCAGACAUCAGUUUUCACUCGGCUUUUGGGGCAGAAACCGAAAUAAGGAUCAAC
Molecule: long non-coding RNA, 564 nt
Organism: Zonotrichia leucophrys gambelii
Lineage: Eukaryota; Metazoa; Chordata; Aves; Passeriformes; Passerellidae
Exons: 3
Source: RefSeq, a predicted model, not a curated record